CCUACGGGAGGCAGCAGUAGGGAAUCUUUCACAAUGGGCGAAAGCCUGAUGGAGCAACGCCGCGUGCAGGAUGAAGGCCUUCGGGUUGUAAACUGUUUUUAUAAGCGAGAAAUAUGAUGGUAACUUAUGAAUAAGGAUCGGCUAACUACGUGCCAGCAGCCGCGGUCAUACGUAGGAUCCGAGCAUUAUCCGGAGUGACUGGGUGUAAAGAGUUGCGUAGGUGGCGUAAUAAGUAGCUAGUGAAAUCUGGUGGCUCAACCAUUCAGACUAUUAGCUAAACUGUUAAGCUCGAGACCGUUAGGGGUAACUGGAAUUUCUAGUGUAGGAGUGAAAUCCGUAGAUAUUAGAAGGAACACCAAUAGCGUAGGCAGGUUGCUGGGACGGUUCUGACACUAAGGCACGAAAGCGUAGGGAGCAAACGGGAUUAGAUACCCCAGUAGUC
This 442-nucleotide ribosomal RNA is filed under the name uncultured bacterium. RNAcentral describes it as "partial 16S ribosomal RNA". It matches the Rfam family "Bacterial small subunit ribosomal RNA", at positions 338 to 795 of the family's 1533-position model. The record is from RNAcentral.